AACAUCAUGGUUUAUUAUGUAAGGUCUUUACACACCACAGAAAACAUAGUUAUGGAUCUUAUAUUGCAUUUCUGUUGAUGGUGCCUCAGAAAUAUUACACACUGGACCUUUAAGGACAUAAGGACAUAGGUAAGUGUGUUGUCAUUAUAAUCGCCACAACAAAAUUCUGUUUGGUAUUUCAGAGACAGCAGCAAGACAAAAAAGCAAAAAUGCACCCCAGACAGGACAGAGAAACUAGACUAAACAGUAAAAACAUAAACAAAUAUAAUAAAUUGCAUAUAAACAGUAACAGACUUCAGUAAUAAAUAAAUAAAGGCAACAACAACAGUAUACUAUUUCACAAUAGUAUGGUUCUUUUAUAUUAAACUAACUGUUGACUGAGGUUGAGGUUAAGUAAAAUCAUAACUUACUAUUUAGUUGUGAUAGCAUGAAAUUAUCAAGCUGUGUUGCUUGUGCUAAUAAAAUGCUGUAACUGGAGGUUCAACAUCAUAAACAUGCUUUGUUUACUCUGUUGACAGGAGCACGGUUGAGCUAGACUGAAGAAAUAUCUGCAAAAUAAAUAGUAAACCCUCUCUAAAGUGACUUGAAGUUGUCCUCACGUAAAUGAUGAAGACCUUAAGCCCAGCUGGAUAUACAAAUAACAGCUACACUGAGACCUCCUAAUGGGCCAGAGCAGUCAAGCAAUAGUGCACUCCGUUCGUCUUCCAGAUUGCAUCUGGGGUUUGGGGCGGAAGUUUCUCCCUGAGGCAACCCAGGCCCAGCUGCUCCAGUACCAAAAGUUCCCACCUGGGUGCUGCUUAGAUUUACUAUUUCUCUUCACGAUUAAUAAUAAAAAAUAAAUUAACUUUA
Long non-coding RNA from Micropterus salmoides (largemouth bass), 849 nucleotides. RefSeq lists it as uncharacterized. NCBI's taxonomy places the organism in Eukaryota, Metazoa, Chordata, Actinopteri, Centrarchiformes, Centrarchidae. The transcript is spliced from 2 exons. The record is from RefSeq and is a predicted model, not a curated record.